This 798-nucleotide ribosomal RNA is filed under the name uncultured Fusobacteriota bacterium. RNAcentral's name for it is "bacterial SSU rRNA". It matches the Rfam family "Bacterial small subunit ribosomal RNA", at positions 72 to 890 of the family's 1533-position model. Lineage: Bacteria; Fusobacteriati; Fusobacteriota. The record is from RNAcentral.
UACUUGAUCCUUCGGGUGAAGGUGGCGGACGGGUGAGUAACGCGUAAAGAACUUGCCUUACAGACUGGGACAACAUUUGGAAACGAAUGCUAAUACCGGAUAUUAUGACUGAGUCGCAUGAUUUGGUUAUGAAAGCUAUAUGCGCUGUGAGAGAGCUUUGCGUCCCAUUAGUUAGUUGGUGUGGUAACGGCCCACCAAGACGAUGAUGGGUAGCCGGCCUGAGAGGGUGAACGGCCACAAGGGGACUGAGACACGGCCCUUACUCCUACGGGAGGCAGCAGUGGGGAAUAUUGGACAAUGGACCAAAAGUCUGAUCCAGCAAUUCUGUGUGCACGAUGAAGUUUUUCGGAAUGUAAAGUGCUUUCAGUUGGGAAGAAGUCAGUGAUGGUACCAACAGAAGAAGCGACGGCUAAAUACGUGCCAGCAGCCGCGGUAAUACGUAUGUCGCAAGCGUUAUCCGGAUUUAUUGGGCGUAAAGCGCGUCUAGGCGGUUUAGUAAGUCUGAUGUGAAAAUGCGGGGCUCAACCCCGUAUUGCGUUGGAAACUGCUAAACUAGAGUACUGGAGAGGUAGGCGGAACUACAAGUGUAGAGGUGAAAUUCGUAGAUAUUUGUAGGAAUGCCGAUGGGGAAGCCAGCCUACUGGACAGAUACUGACGCUAAAGCGCGAAAGCGUGGGUAGCAAACAGGAUUAGAUACCCUGGUAGUCCACGCCGUAAACGAUGAUUACUAGGUGUUGGGGGUCGAACCUCAGCGCCCAAGCUACGCGAUAAGUAUCCGCCUGGAGGAGUACGUACGCA